GGGGUUGUAACUCAGUGGAAGAGUUUUCGCUUUGCAUGCGAAAAGCCCAGAGUUCAAUCCUCCGCAACUCCA
Non-coding RNA from Daphnia pulex (common water flea), 72 nucleotides. The record is from Rfam. NCBI's taxonomy places the organism in Eukaryota, Metazoa, Arthropoda, Branchiopoda, Diplostraca, Daphniidae.